CCUACGGGAGGCAGCAGUURGGAAUUUUGGGCAAUGGGSGAAACCCUGACGCAGCAACGCCGCGUGGAGGAUGAAGCCCUUUGGGUUGUAAACUCCUUUCGACCAGGAAGAUAAUGAUGGUACUGCAGAGUGGAAGAAGAMCGGCUAAACUCUGUGCCAGCAGCCGCGGUAAU
Molecule: ribosomal RNA, 173 nt
Filed under: uncultured bacterium
Lineage: Bacteria
Description: partial 16S rRNA
Rfam family: Bacterial small subunit ribosomal RNA
Source: RNAcentral